Molecule: non-coding RNA, 1016 nt
Organism: Salmo salar (Atlantic salmon)
Lineage: Eukaryota; Metazoa; Chordata; Actinopteri; Salmoniformes; Salmonidae
Source: RefSeq, a predicted model, not a curated record
ACUGGUUUUUGUUGUAAAUAACAAUACGUUUUUUAUACAUGGAUUGUUGUCUAGAAACUAAUAUACACUGUUUAUAAACAGUACCUUAAUAUAAAAUCGUACUCUUUUUAAACUGGCCUAUAUAGGCAUACUGUGAUAUCAGUUAGACCAGCAGUAGAGAGUGCACUGUAUCCUAUCCUAUGACAAAACGAUCAGGAUACCAUCCCUUGAAGAGAUACCAAUUGUGAGAGUUGCUUGACUACAGCCCAAGAAAUUGAGAGCAGAAGAAAGACACAGCAGAGUCCAGACAGGAUGUUAUUGAGAAGCUAGUCGGUGGUGCUGUGUGUGGAACCGCUCCUUUCCACAAAAAUUGUCAACUUUCCAAAGAAAAUAUGAAAACGUCCUGCAAGCACCUAUUAGGUAAUAAUGUGAAUUUGUGUUCCGUAUCUUGAAUAAUAUUUCCUACAAAUGGACGUUUAUAAUGUUAUUGGGCAAUGUGUGACAACUCUUCAGAUGUGCACAAUGAGGAGUUCCGUACAGGCAGAGUUGCAAAGAAAAAGCCAUAUCUCAGACUGGCCAAUAAAAAGAAAAUAUUAAGAUGGGCAAAAGAACACAGACACUGGACAGAGGAACUCUGCCUAGAAGGCCAGCAUCCCGGAGUCGCCUCUUCACUGUUGACAUUGAGACUGGUGUUUUGCGGGAACUAUUUAAUGAAGCUGCCAGUUGAGGACUUCUGAGGCGUCUGUUUCUCAAGCUAGACAAUCUAAUGUACUUGUUCUCUUGCUCAGUUGUGCCCCGGGGCCUCCCACUCUUUCUCUUCUGGUUAGAGCCAGUUUGCGCUGUUCUGUGACGGGAGUAGUACACGGCAUUGUACGAGUUUCAGAAGAAAGUACUUUGUUUCUGGCUAUUUUGAGCCUGUAAUCGAACCCAUAAAUGCUGAUGCUCCAGAUACUCAACUAGUCUAAAGAAAACCAGUUUCAUUGCUUCUUUAAUCAGAACAACAGUUUUCAGCUGUGCUAACAUAAUUGCAAAAGGGU